AAAUCAAUUCUUAAAGAAGAUAUUCUACCAUCCCGAGGAGAUAUUUCUUUAUUUAGCAUUGGACCCUCUAUAGUAGUCAUAUCAGUUUUAUUAAGUUUUUUAGUUAUCCCUUUGGGAUAUCAUUUUGUUUUAGCCGAUCUUAGUAUUGGUGUUUUUUACGGAUUGCCAUUUCAAGUAUAGCUCCUAUUGGUCUUCUUAUGGCAGGAUAUAGCUCAAAUAAUAAAUCUUUUUCAAGCGGUCUACGAGCUGCUGCUCAAUCCAUUAGUUAUGAAAUACCAUUAA
This 282-nucleotide ribosomal RNA is filed under the name Triticum aestivum (bread wheat). RNAcentral describes it as "partial small subunit ribosomal RNA". Lineage: Eukaryota; Viridiplantae; Streptophyta; Magnoliopsida; Poales; Poaceae. The record is from RNAcentral.